CCUACGGGUGGCAGCAGUAGGGAAUAUUGCUCAAUGGGGGAAACCCUGAAGCAGCAACGCCGCGUGCAGGAUGAAGGUUUUCGGAUUGUAAACUCCUUUUGUUAGAGAAGAUAAUGACGGUAUCUAACGAAUAAGCACCGUCUAACUCCGUGCAAGCAGCCGCGGUAAUACGGAGGGUGCAAGCGUUAGCCGGAAUCACUGGGCGUAAUGAGCGCGUAGGCGGGUUAGCAAGUCAGAUGUGAAAUCCUUGGGCUUAACCAUAGAACUGCCUUUGAAACUGUUGUUCUAGAGUAUGGGAGAGGUAGGUGGAAUGCUUGGUGUAGGGGUGAAAUGCGUAGAGAUCAAGAGGAAUACUGAUUGCGAAGGCGGCCUACUAGAACAUAACUGACGCUGAGGCGCGAAAGCGUGGGGAGCAAACAGGAUUAGAUACCCUAGUAGUC
RNAcentral lists this ribosomal RNA (440 nucleotides) under uncultured bacterium. RNAcentral's name for it is "partial 16S ribosomal RNA". It matches the Rfam family "Bacterial small subunit ribosomal RNA", at positions 338 to 795 of the family's 1533-position model. The record is from RNAcentral.